This 103-nucleotide small nuclear RNA is filed under the name Jaculus jaculus (lesser Egyptian jerboa). The record is from RNAcentral. Lineage: Eukaryota; Metazoa; Chordata; Mammalia; Rodentia; Dipodidae.
UCGCUUUGGUAGCACAUAUACUAAAAUUUGAAUGAUACAGAGAAGAUUAGCAUGGCCCCUGUGCAAGGAUGACAUGCAAAUUUGUGAAGCGUUCCAUAUUUUU